UAACGAAUAUUGGGCAAUGGGCGAAAGCCUGACCCAGCAAUGCCGCGUGAAUGAUGAAGGCCUUCGGGUUGUAAAGUUCAGUAAGCAGGGAAGAAUAAGCAACGGGUAAUAUUCGUUGUGAUGACGGUACCUGCCUAAAGCCCCGGCUAACUACGUGCCAGCAGCCGCGGUAAUACGUAUGGGGCAAGCGUUGUUCGGAAUUAUUGGGCGUAAAGGGCGUCUAGGCGGGGGAUUAAGUUAGAUGUGAAAGCUAUGGGCUCAACCCAUAAACUGCAUCUAAGACUGGUUCUCUUGAGUCCGGGAGAGGAGAGCGGAAUUCCAGGUGUAGCGGUGAAAUGCGUAGAUAUCUGGAAGAACACCAGUGGCGAAGGCGGCUCUCUGGCCUAGGACUGACGCUGAAGCGCGAAAGCGUGGGGAGCGAACA
This 424-nucleotide ribosomal RNA is filed under the name uncultured prokaryote. RNAcentral describes it as "bacterial SSU rRNA". It matches the Rfam family "Bacterial small subunit ribosomal RNA", at positions 355 to 774 of the family's 1533-position model. The record is from RNAcentral.